CCAUUGUGUUUGAAAAUAUCUGAGGACUAAGGCUGUGUUUGUACCACUCAGAUUUCAGCCGGCUUCCAAGCGAAGCCAUCGCUUUUUCCACCGAAAAGCAGAAGCCUGGAGGCCCCUGCUUUUGGAAGCCGCACGGCCCAACUGUAGCGAUUCACUGAAUGAAUCUUAAACAACCUUCGACGCACAGACAAUUGGAGAGCGGAGACGCUUCCAUUUUCACCACGCACAGCCUCUCCAUUCAAUUCGGAGGUAGCCAUCUCUCUUUGUCUUCAAAUUCAAAAUUUGGGGUAAAAAUCAUAGCAUAGGAUCAAUUGCCGAAUCGGAAAAAUCGGGGAUUUCAUUAAGAAAGGCUUUGUUGAAGCCAUGGCAUGGCGGUAGGGUUUUCAGUUAUCUCCGGAAUCUCGGAAUCUUGGUUUUGUUUUUAUCUUUGUAUAUGUGUACGUUUGAUAAGGCAUCAGGACCUCAUUGAGGUUAAGAUUUUAAUCUAAUUUGACAUUCCUGGAAUACUCAAUAUGUUCAUAUAUCUUUGCUGCAUGACUGUGUGGAUCCAUCACUCGUCUUCAUAUAUACAACAAUCUUUGAUUUGUAAAAGAACUUGCAAAGCCUUUCACCUAAAAAAAAUUAUUGCUGAACUGAAGCCUUUCAAAUUAGGAGCAAAACCAGCUAAAGGUUUUUGCUCACUCUUAUGCUGUGGUUGCAUUUUAUUUCCACUAGUGUAUCAAAAUUCUGCCUUUGAUUAGGUCUGAGAUGAAGUUCCGUCCUUGUGUUCGUGUUCAGCUUUGUGUUUUAGACUUAGUUGCGUUCAUCUUUAACUAGUUUUACCAAUGUGUCUAAAGUUUCAGCGUUCAACUAUAGCCUUCUGUGACUAUAUGAUCUGAGAUGAGAAUAAGAAUUUACGAGCAUCCCAUAUAUUGAGUCAUACUUACUUCAUUCCAUAUAGGAAGCUUCCUGUUCAAUACAUCAAGCAUCUCAAUGUUGAAAUUAUACAAGGAUCGAUAUAAAAGCAAUUGGGAUAAACUGGAAUGUUUUCUGAUGUCCUGGUGAUGUGUUAGUGUAGGCAUGAAUUAGGAAUAUUGGUUUGACAAAAGCAUUGGUUCUGUGGUGUUUGUCAUGUGUUACUUGCCCGUAUCUGAUUCCAUCUUUAUUCCCAUUCCUGCACUUUGUAUAAAAAUAUAUACCAUCCCAUUUCAAAUACAGUCAGAGUUCAAAGCCUUCUCUCUAAACCAUGUCCUUCUCCCAACUCAACACUUUCAGGUGUUGCACCUUUUCCUCAUCAGGUUUCUCUCUUUCUCUGUUUGGCUCUGUUUUCUUUGUUCUUUGGUGUUUCUCUCUCAGUUCAAGUCAACAUUUAUUAGAUACCAUAUUGAUUAGAAUUCUGAAUUGCACUUUGCAAAAGUUUCAUGUAGUUUUUCCCCCCUUUUAUCAGUAUGAUAAUUAGUUAUCAGGUACGUUAUGGUGAUUUCAGUUUUUAUUUUUUAAUUUUUUUUUUAGUAACUGUUAUCCAGCAAAGAAGCAUCGUGUUUGUUUGAGACAAUGCAAAACGCCUAUGUAAGACCUAAUGAACUGAUUGAAUUCCAUUCUGAUGACUCACCUUUUCCUCCUGCCAAAGGGGGCUGUGGCUGUGAUACCAUCUCCUAAUAUAAAGUCAUUUGAUUGAAUUAUGCGAUUUUUGACUUUUGAAGCUCUUUUCUUGACUUUCUAAUCAUAGUUUGUCAGUUUCUAUUAGUUAUUUUGUUCUAUAGUGAAAUUUGCAUUCUUUUAAGGUACUACUUCUAUUGAAGUUUAAUGGCACUCUUUCUGUUGCUUGUUAAAAAUCCCAAUAUGAGAAUAUCAAGUGGUGAUCAACCCGAAAAACCUCUCUUCAAACCUUCUGGAAAUUUGGCAGUGCUUAGUGUAUUUCUUUGUUUAGACUAUUUCCUUAUCACACAUUAAUUUGAAUUUCUUUAUUCAAAUGUCUCAGAGAUGGUAACUUCAGUUCUUUCAUAAAAAAGUAUCUGGUGAAAAAGCUGAAUCUUCACAGUGAGGCGGGGGUAACAUCAUCUGCUCUCCCUUUUCAAAUUAGUAAAGAUGCAUGUGUAACCCUUCUGUGUUAUGAUAGUGACAGUGCAACUAAGUUUAAGAUGAGUUAUCCACUUAGAGCUGAAAGCUAUCUAUUUGUGGUCUGAAAGUUAUCUAUACGGCUAGAGCUCUGCUCUAGUAACAUUUCAUAUUGUUGUCUCUCUGCUGCGUACGAGUAAUUUUGAUGGAUGUAGGUAGGCUUUUAGUAUCCAUCACAAUUGCUUGUAUCUAUUACUCUAUGGUAAAAUUAGUAUUAGUGCAGAUGAGGUUGACAUCAAAACUGAAACUGAAAGAGAAGAAAAAGAUUUGUGUUCUUUCCAUUUUCUGACCUGAAACUGUUGAGGAUGCUAGCUAAUGAAGGUGCUGCAGUGUUGUGUUCCUUGCAAUCUUUGACUUGAAAUUGUUGAGGAAGCUAGCUAAUGAAGGUGCUACAAUGUUGGGGUUGCCUUGACUAGUUUUUAUUUUUUAAGAAUUGUGAUUGUUAGUUGGUGUAAGAAUGAUGGAUAUUAUAUUUUGAAAUUUGUCAAUUUAUAAUAUUUGCGAAACAUGGUACUAGUAUUACUCAAAGUUUGA
Long non-coding RNA from Rosa chinensis, 2631 nucleotides. RefSeq lists it as uncharacterized. The transcript is spliced from 2 exons. The record is from RefSeq and is a predicted model, not a curated record. Lineage: Eukaryota; Viridiplantae; Streptophyta; Magnoliopsida; Rosales; Rosaceae.